Molecule: ribosomal RNA, 1228 nt
Filed under: metagenome
Description: bacterial SSU rRNA
Rfam family: Bacterial small subunit ribosomal RNA
Source: RNAcentral
AGAGUUUGAUCCUGGCUCAGGAUGAACGCUAGCGGCAGGCUUAACACAUGCAAGUCGAGGGGUAACGAUGGUGCUUGCACCAGGCGACGACCGGCGCACGGGUGAGUAACGCGUAUGCAACCUACCUCUAUCAGGGGCACAGCUCUCGGAAACGGGAAUUAAUACCCCAUAAUAUCAUAGAUUCGCAUGUUUUUGUGAUUAAAGCUCCGGCGGAUAGGGAUGGGCAUGCGUGCCAUUAGCUUGUUGGUAAGGUAACGGCUUACCAAGGCAACGAUGGCUAGGGGGUCUGAGAGGAUGGUCCCCCACACUGGUACUGAGACACGGACCAGACUCCUACGGGAGGCAGCAGUGAGGAAUAUUGGGCAAUGGACGCAAGUCUGACCCAGCCAUGCCGCGUGCAGGAUGAAUGCCCUAUGGGUUGUAAACUGCCUUUCUGCAGGAAGAAACGCUCGAUCGUGAUCGGGUUUGACGGUACUGUAGGAAUAAGCAUCGGCUAACUCCGUGCCAGCAGCCGCGGUAAUACGGAGGAUGCAAGCGUUAUCCGGAUUUAUUGGGUUUAAAGGGUGCGUAGGCGGAAAUAUAAGUCAGUGGUGAAAUCCUGCAGCUUAACUGUAGAACUGCCAUUGAUACUGUUUUUCUUGAGUAUAGUUGAGGUGGGCGGAAUGUGUAAUGUAGCGGUGAAAUGCUUAGAUAUUACACAGAACACCAAUUGCGUAGGCAGCUCACUAAACUAUCACUGACGCUGAGGCACGAAAGCGUGGGGAGCGAACAGGAUUAGAUGCCCUGGUAGUCCACGCUGUAAACUAUGAUCACUCGUUGUUGGUGAUACAUUGUCAGCGACCAAGCGAAAGCAUUAAGUGAUCCACCUGGGGAGUACGGUCGCAAGAUUGAAACUCAAAGGAAUUGACGGGGGCCCGCACAAGCGGUGGAACAUGUGGUUUAGUUCGAUGAUACGCGAGGAACCUUACCUGGGCUUAAAUGCAGAACGACGGAUUGGGAAACUAAUCUUUCUUCGGACGGACUGCAAGUGCUGCAUGGUUGUCGUCAGCUCGUGCCGUGAGGUGUCGGGUUAAGUCCCAUAACGAGCGCAACCCUUAUCGUUAGUUACCAGCGGAUAAUGCCGGGGACUCUAUCGAAACUGCCGGUGUAAACCGUGAGGAAGGUGGGGAUGACGUCAAAUCAGCACGGCCCUUAUGUCCAGGGCUACACACGUGUUACAAUGGUCAGU